Molecule: long non-coding RNA, 2947 nt
Organism: Arachis stenosperma
Lineage: Eukaryota; Viridiplantae; Streptophyta; Magnoliopsida; Fabales; Fabaceae
Exons: 2
Source: RefSeq, a predicted model, not a curated record
UGGAAGAAUAAAAAAAAAUUAGUUAUUAUGAUGAAGGAGAGUAAGACUUUUAUAAUAGCUCCAUUCUAAUCUUAGGAACAUCACUCCACCUUUUACUAUAAUAUCCUCACUAUGUGGCCUAUAAUGCUUAAGUCACAGUAGAUUGAUAGCAAAAAGUGGCGUGGCAUUGGCGCUUCAUUGGCAUGUCCAUAGCGUGUGGUUGGCGUGCCAAAAUCACACGCCCCCAAGCUCAGAAGUUGGUGUGGCAUUGGCGCUUCAUUGGCGUGUCUUUGGCAUGUGGUUGGCGUGCCAAAACCACACGCCCUCAAGCUUCAGCCCUUGGCGUGUCAUGGGUGUGCCUGGGAAGUGGCACGCUGGGCCAACUUCCCAAAAGAUGCCUCAAAGAGCAAAAGUUGGCAUGGCAAGGGCGUGUCUCUGGCGUGGGAAGAGAGACACGCCCUCGAAGCUUCAUUCUUCUCCAAGUGGGCAUGGGAGCUGGCGUGUCUCGGAAGUGGCACGCUGGGCCAACUUCCCAGGGAGCAUAAUACCACCCUUGGCGUGCACUAUGGCGUGUGGUUGACGUGUCAACCACCACACACCCUCACAACUUGGAACAAUUACAUAAUGGGCAUGCCAAGGGCGUGGCACGCUGAACCACCUUCACAAAACCUUCAAUAUUUGGUGUGCCACCAAAGUGGCACUUCCAUGACACGCCAUUCAAUCUCAAGGCAAUUUACCAUCUUGGGCUCACAAUCUUUGAAGAAAGAAGACUCGACUACAAGCAAGAGGACCAUAAGUUGGAUAGAAUUGUAAUUGUAGUGAUUUGAAUCAGAUCUGGAGUGGAAUUUUGGGAGUUGAGAGUAGUAUAUAACCCCAUUUUGCACUCUUCCUUUUGUGUUUUUCACUUUUGAUUCUUUUCUGAAAGUCAUGAGUGGCUAAUUGACUGGAGUCAAGAACUCUAUCGUAAUUUGAUGGAUCAAUAGUAAUUUUAUUUUUAUCUUCAAUUAUUCUUUAGGGAGAAUAUUCGUUAUUUAUCGCAAUGAUUCAAUUAUCUUGAGAAAGAAAUUGAAUCUAACUGAAUUCUAUGAGGAAUUGAGAAAGGAAUCAUAGAAUUAAUGCUUGAAGUUCUUUCUCGCAAUUGAUGUGAAUUUGGAUUUGAGAUUGAUAUGUGGUAUAUAAUCAAUCUAUGAUUUGAUUCAUGAAAUUUUGUGGCUCUAAAUUAGAGACCAACCUUCAGCUCUUCUCAUGAUCAAUUAGAUCAAGAGAUUGGCAAUUCAUCAAGUUAAGAGAAAUCAAAUCACCAAAAAAUUAGGAUUUAAUUACUUAUGAUUUGCCAAGAGAUCAAUAAUUGAAUGAUUAAAGUAGAGAUGAAACCCAUUUUGAUUCAGAGAAUUCAAUAUCUCUAAACCCCCAAUGAUCCCCCUCUCAUCCUCUUAAUUCCCCUUCUUUGCUUUCAUUUACUUAAUGCUCUUUUACAUUGUUGUGUUUAUAAUCUUGCAAUUUACUAUUCCUCCAAUUUAGAUUUCCAGCUUUUAUAUUUUGUCAUCUUUACUUUCUAGUCUUUUAAUUUCCAGCAAUCUAUCUUUUCAAUCAUUUACUUUCUGCUUUUUACAUUCAAAGUCAUUUCCAGCUUUUGAUUACUUUUCCUUCAAGUCAUUUUACAUUUCAUGCUUAUUUCAUUACUUGUCCAUCAUCAAACUAUGAAUUGUCUAACCAAAUUUCUCAAUCAAUCAUUAUUUGCUUAAUUCCUUAAUUUUCGUGGGAUCGACACUCACUCACCGUGAAUUUUACUACUUGAUACGAUCUGGUGCACUUGCCGGUAGUUCUACAUAAUAGUGAAUUAUUUGUCAAUUCCGUAUCAGCAACCUUUGGAAAUUCCGUAAUAAAAAUGGGAAAGCGUCGCAAUGGACUUUGUGUUUGGAUUGCCGAGGAUUCAGGCAGGAUUUGAUACAGUUUGGGUGAUUGUGGAUCGGUUAACGAAGUCAACUCACUUCUUGCCCGUCCGGAUGAAUUAUACUUUGGAGGAGUUGCUACGCUUAUACAUUAAGGAGAUUGUAAGGUUGCAUGGUAUCCCUAACACCAUAGUUUCUGACAGAGAUCCUCGUUUCACUUCGAGAUUUUGAGAAACUUUUCAGAGAAUUUUCGAAACUCAAUUGAGCUUAAGCACUGCGUACCAUUCUUAAAUCGAUGGUCAAUCGGAGAGGAUGAUACAAACCCUAGAAAAUAUGCUGAGGGCUUGUGUGCUGGAUCAUCCGCUUAGGAAGAUUCAACUUUUUCUUAUGUCUAGAGGAAACUUAUCUGGACAAUGGAGGCAUUCAUCUAUCUCAACAAAAGUUUGUUAUGACACAACCAGACUUAUCAUAUUCUGUGAACAGAGUUUCUCAAUUCAUACAGGAUCUUACUUUAAAUCAUUGAAAGAUUGGACAAGUGAUCCAAAUGAUCGUCGCUUCAUUACUAGCUACUAUGUUUAUAUGGGGAGUAACUUGAUUUUGUGGAAAUGUCACAAGCAAACCAAAGUGAGUCAUAGCAGUACAAAGGCAGAGUAUCGAGCUUUAUUAGCUUCAGUUCAAUUUGGCACUUUGAGCGAGUUUCAAUCUCUUAGUCUAUAAAUGGUAAACAGUCGACAACUCUAUGUGGUGCAUAUCCCGGCAAGAGACCAAAUCGAUAUGCCUUAACUAAACCUUAAUCAUUCAAUAUGUUCAACAUCCUUCAAGACAAACUUAGGGUCAGUCCUAAUCUUCCCCUAAGAAUGAAGAGGGGUUUAUGAAAAGUGUACAAAGUGAUAAAGGGUAGAGAUAUGGGAAACAGAGGGAGAGUUAGUUAUUUUUCCUCCAAAUUCUGUUACCUUUCUCUCUCUAUUCUCUCAGGCUAUUAGUGUAUAAAUACCAUAAUUCUCUCUCAAUGUACUGGUACAAUAACAAGCUUAAUAUCAUUCAUACGUUUAAUCACAAACACUACUAUUCUUUCA